This 274-nucleotide ribosomal RNA is filed under the name uncultured bacterium. RNAcentral describes it as "partial 16S ribosomal RNA". It matches the Rfam family "Bacterial small subunit ribosomal RNA", at positions 523 to 796 of the family's 1533-position model. The record is from RNAcentral.
AUACGGAGGAUGCAAGCGUUAUCCGGAUUUAUUGGGUUUAAAGGGUGCGCAGGCGGAAAAUUAAGUCAGUGGUGAAAUCCUACAGCUUAACUGUAGAACUGCCAUUGAUACUGAUUUUCUUGAGUGCAGUUGAGGUAGGCGGAAUGUGUAAUGUAGCGGUGAAAUGCUUAGAUAUUACACAGAACACCGAUUGCGUAGGCAGCUUACUAAACUGUUACUGACGCUCAGGCACGAAAGCGUGGGGAGCGAACAGGAUUAGAAACCCUAGUAGUCC